This 253-nucleotide ribosomal RNA is filed under the name uncultured bacterium. RNAcentral describes it as "partial 16S ribosomal RNA". It matches the Rfam family "Bacterial small subunit ribosomal RNA", at positions 524 to 776 of the family's 1533-position model. The record is from RNAcentral.
UACAGAGGUGGCAAGCGUUGUUCGGAAUUACUGGGCGUAAAGGGCGCGUAGGCGGCCUUCUAAGUCAGACGUGAAAUCCCCCGGCUUAACCUGGGAACUGCGUCUGAUACUGGAGGGCUAGAGUUUGGGAGAGGGAUGUAGAAUUCCAGGUGUAGCGGUGAAAUGCGUAGAUAUCUGGAGGAACACCGGUGGCGAAGGCGGCAUCCUGGACCGACACUGACGCUGAGGAGCGAAAGUGUGGGGAGCGAACAGG